GCCCCCCCCGGGCACUGAGCGCCGCCCAUGGGACAAUGGUGGCCCACGCACCCACGUGUGGCACCGAGCUGUGGCGCUGACACGGCGGCGAUGACAAUGCUACGCUGAGGGUGACAGCGCUGUGCUGGGGGUGACAACACUACGUCGGGGGUGACAACGCCGUGUUGGUUGUGACAACACUACGUCGCGUGUGACAACACUACAUCGGCUGUGACAACGCUACGUCAGCUGUGACAACACCGUGUCGGGUGUGACAACACUACACCGGGUGUGACAACGCUACAUGGGAUGGAACAACGCUACAUUGGGUGUGACAACACGACAUCGGGUGUCACACUGCCACGUCGGGUGUCACAACGCUGUGUUGGUUGUAACAACGCUACAUCGAGUGUGACAACGCUACGUCGGGUGUCACAGCGCUGCGUCGGGUGUGACAAUGCUAUGUCAGGUGUGACAGCACCGUGCUGGGUGUGACGACACUACAUCGGGUGUGACAACACUGCAUCAGAUGUGACAACACGACAUCGGGUGUAACAUUGCCACGUCGGGUGUCACAACACUGCGUCGCGUGUGACAAUGCUAUGUCAGGUGUCACAACACCGUGCCGGGUGUGACGACACUACCUCGGGUGUGACAAUGCUACAUGGGGUGUGACAGCGCUGCGCCGCGUGUGACAACACCACGUCAGCUGUGACAACGCUGCGCCGGGUGUGACAGCGCUGCGCCGGGUGUGACAACACUGCUGGUUGUAACAACACCACGUUGGGUGUAACAAUGCUACAUUGGAUGGAACAAUGGCACAGCGGGUGUGACAAUGCUGCGUCGGCUGUGACAACACCACAUUGGGGUCACAAUGCUGCACUGGGUGUGACAGUGCUACAGCGGGUGUGACAACACGGCGUCGGGUGUACCAACCCAGCAUCGGGUGCAGCAAUGCCACGUCGGGUGUGACAACACCGCACUGGGUGUCACAAUGCUACACUGGGUGUAGUAAUGCCAUGCUGAGUGUGACAACACUGCGCUGGGUGUGACAACACUACACUGGCUGUAGUAAUGCUGAGUUGGGGGGGACAACGCUACACUGGGUGUCACAACGCUGCGUUACAUGUGACAACGCUGUGUUGGGGGUAACAAUGCUACACUGGGCGUAACAACGCUGCGUUAGGUGUGACAGCAACACUGCUGGGUGUGACAACGCUGCUUCGGGUGUGACAACGCUACAUUGGCUGUAACUGCUACGCUGGGUGUAACAACGCUACAUGGGGUGUGACAACACUGUGCUGGGUGUAACAACACCGCGUUGGGGGUCACAACGCUACGUGGGGUGUACAAGCACUAUGUGGAGUGUGACAACACCGUGUUGGGUGGAACAGUGCUGCACUGGGUGUGAUAAUGUUAUGUUGGGGGUGACAGCAGUACACUGGGUGUGACAACGCUGUGUUGGGUGUGACAACACUAUAUUGGGUGUGACAGUGCUACACUGAGUGUAACAACACCACAUUGGCUGUAACAACACUACACUGGGUGUAAUAAUGCUAUGCUGGGUGUAACGAUGCUGCCUCGGGUGUGAUAACACUGCGCUGGGUGUAAUGACAAUGCUGCAUCGGGUGUAACAAUGCUACGUUGGCUGUAAUGAUGCUAUGUUGGGGGUGACAACACUACA
Long non-coding RNA from Numida meleagris (helmeted guineafowl), 1663 nucleotides. RefSeq lists it as uncharacterized. The record is from RefSeq and is a predicted model, not a curated record. The transcript has 2 exons. NCBI's taxonomy places the organism in Eukaryota, Metazoa, Chordata, Aves, Galliformes, Numididae.